CCCUUAGAUGUUCUGGGCUGCACGCGCGCUACACUGAAGCUAUCAACACGUUUUCCCUCCCUGAGAAGGGCGGGUAACCUUUUGAAUCAGCUUCGUGGUAGGGAUCGGGGCUUGCAAUUGUUCCCCGUGAACCAGGAAUUCCUAGUAGACGCGAGUCAUAAGCUCGCAUCGAUUAAGUCCCUGCCCUUUGUACUCACCGCCCGUCGCUACUACCGAUUGAACGUUUUAGUGAGGCAUUUGGACCGACGCAUCUCAGUUUAACCGCUGGUUUGUGUUGGAAAGACUUCCAAACUUGAGCGUUUAGAGGAAGUAAAAGUCGUAACA
This 324-nucleotide ribosomal RNA is filed under the name uncultured eukaryote. Its description in RNAcentral is "partial 18S ribosomal RNA". It matches the Rfam family "Eukaryotic small subunit ribosomal RNA", at positions 1470 to 1796 of the family's 1831-position model. The record is from RNAcentral.